Molecule: ribosomal RNA, 866 nt
Filed under: uncultured Dysgonomonas sp.
Lineage: Bacteria; Pseudomonadati; Bacteroidota; Bacteroidia; Bacteroidales; Dysgonomonadaceae
Description: bacterial SSU rRNA
Rfam family: Bacterial small subunit ribosomal RNA
Source: RNAcentral
ACCGGCGCACGGGUGAGUAACGCGUAUGCAACCUACCUACUACAGGGGGAUAGCCCGAAGAAAUUCGGAUUAACACCGCAUAAUACUAAAGAUUCGCAUGGAUUUAUAGUUAAAAAUUUAUUGGUAGUAGAUGGGCAUGCGUUCCAUUAGCCAGUUGGUGAGGUAACGGCUCACCAAAGCAACGAUGGAUAGGGGAACUGAGAGGUUUAUCCCCCACACUGGUACUGAGACACGGACCAGACUCCUACGGGAGGCAGCAGUGAGGAAUAUUGGUCAAUGGACGAGAGUCUGAACCAGCCAAGUCGCGUGAAGGAUGACUGCCCUAUGGGUUGUAAACUUCUUUUGUGCUAGAGUAAAAAAGAGUAUGUAUACUCUCUUGCAAGUAUAGUACGAAUAAGCAUCGGCUAACUCCGUGCCAGCAGCCGCGGUAAUACGGAGGAUGCGAGCGUUAUCCGGAUUUAUUGGGUUUAAAGGGUGCGUAGGCGGGAGUUUAAGUCAGCGGAGAAAGUUUGAGGCUCAACCUUAAAAUUGCCGUUGAAACUGGAUUUCUUGAGUGUAUUUGAAGUAGGCGGAAUUCGUUGUGUAGCGGUGAAAUGCAUAGAUAUAACGAAGAACUCCAAUUGCGCAGGCAGCUUACUAAACUACAACUGACGCUGAAGCACGAAAGCGUGGGUAUCAAACAGGAUUAGAUACCCUGGUAGUCCACGCAGUAAACGAUGAUUACUAGCUGUUUGUGAUAUUACAAUAAGUGGCUAAGCGAAAGCGAUAAGUAAUCCACCUGGGGAGUACGCCGGCAACGGUGAAACUCAAAGGAAUUGACGGGGGCCCGCACAAGCGGAGGAACAUGUGGGUUUAAUUUCGAUGAU